GAGUGAACGCUGGCGGUAGGCCUAACACAUGCAAGUCGAACGGCAGCACAGUAAGAGCUUGCUCUUACGGGUGGCGAGUGGCGGACGGGUGAGGAAUACAUCGGAAUCUACUUUUUCGUGGGGGAUAACGUAGGGAAACUUACGCUAAUACCGCAUACGACCUACGGGUGAAAGCAGGGGAUCUUCGGACCUUGCGCGAUUGAAUGAGCCGAUGUCGGAUUAGCUAGUUGGCGGGGUAAAGGCCCACCAAGGCGACGAUCCGUAGCUGGUCUGAGAGGAUGAUCAGCCACACUGGGACUGAGACACGGUCCAGACUCCUACGGGAGGCAGCAGUGGGGAAUAUUGGACAAUGGGCGCAAGCCUGAUCCAGCCAUACCGCGUGGGUGAAGAAGGCCUUCGGGUUGUAAAGCCCUUUUGUUGGGAAAGAAAAGCAGCAGGUUAAUACCCCGCUGUUCUGACGGUACCCAAAGAAUAAGCACCGGCUAACUUCGUG
RNAcentral lists this ribosomal RNA (493 nucleotides) under uncultured bacterium. Its description in RNAcentral is "partial 16S ribosomal RNA". It matches the Rfam family "Bacterial small subunit ribosomal RNA", at positions 27 to 507 of the family's 1533-position model. The record is from RNAcentral.